Molecule: long non-coding RNA, 509 nt
Organism: Microcebus murinus (gray mouse lemur)
Lineage: Eukaryota; Metazoa; Chordata; Mammalia; Primates; Cheirogaleidae
Source: RefSeq, a predicted model, not a curated record
CUGCCGUCCGACUGCCGUCUCCAUGCUCAGAAUACAUCACCCUGCUCUGCACGGGCAGUGGGAGUAGGAUAGGGGGUCCCCAGAAAUGCUUAUGCCCCCAAAGUGGCUAUUUCUAAACAGGAAUAAAAGGCACAUAAGUGCAAGACCUUCUUUAUGGUAGAAACCUACACGUCGAAUGGAUGCACUAUACACAAGGCACCAAGAAGACACAUUGGGAAAAGGGUAGUUUCUUUAAUAAAACAGUGCUGGGAAAACUGGAUGUCCAUAUACAGAAGAAUGAAAGUGGAUCCCCAUCUUUCACCACAUGUAAAAAUCAACUCAAAAUGGAUUAAAGACUUAAAUGUAAGAUCUGAAACUAUGAAACUACUAGAAGAAAACAUUGGGGAAAUGCUACAGGACAUUGGUCUUAGCAAAGAUUUCUUUGGGUAAGACCUCAGAAGCACAGGCAACAAAAGCAAAAAUAGACAAAUGGGAUUAUAUCAAGCUAUAAAGAUUCUGCACAGCAAAGG